This 253-nucleotide ribosomal RNA is filed under the name uncultured bacterium. RNAcentral describes it as "partial 16S ribosomal RNA". It matches the Rfam family "Bacterial small subunit ribosomal RNA", at positions 524 to 776 of the family's 1533-position model. The record is from RNAcentral.
UCCGGGGGGGGCAAGCGUUGUUCGGAAUUACUGGGCGUAAAGGGCUCGUAGGCGGCCAACUAAGUCAGACGUGAAAUCCCCAGGCUCAACCUGGGAACUGCGUCUGAUACUGGAUGGCUUGAAUUCGGGAGAGGGAUGCAGAAUUCCAGGUGUAGCGGUGAAAUGCGUAGAUAUCUGGAGGAACACCGGUGGCGAAGGCGGCAUCCUGGACCGGCAUUGACGCUGAGGAGCGAAAGCUAGGGGAGCAAACAGG